UGGAGAAUCUAGAAGAUGAAGAAACAUGGG
Molecule: non-coding RNA, 30 nt
Filed under: Rattus norvegicus (Norway rat)
Lineage: Eukaryota; Metazoa; Chordata; Mammalia; Rodentia; Muridae
Source: RNAcentral